UACGUAGGGUGCGAGCGUUGUCCGGAAUUAUUGGGCGUAAGGCGCGCGUAGGCGGUUACUCAAGUCGGAUGUGAAAGCCCUCGGCUUAACUGAGGAAGUGCACCCGAAACUGAGUAGCUAGAGUACUAAAGAGGGUCGCGGAAUUCCCGGUGUAGAGGUGAAAUUCGUAGAUAUCGGGAGGAACACCGGUGGCGAAGGCGGCGACCUGGGUAGAUACUGACGCUGAGGCGCGAAAGCGUGGGGAGCAAACAGG
RNAcentral lists this ribosomal RNA (253 nucleotides) under uncultured bacterium. RNAcentral describes it as "partial 16S ribosomal RNA". It matches the Rfam family "Bacterial small subunit ribosomal RNA", at positions 524 to 776 of the family's 1533-position model. The record is from RNAcentral.